AUAAAUAGAAAUAUAAAUCAAUUGCUUUCAAAAAGCAAUUGUAAACGGUCUUUCCCCCCUUAGAAACAUGAUUGUUUGUUGUGUGUGUGUGUGUGUGUGUGUGUGUGUGUGUGUGUGUGUGUGUGUGUGUGUGUGUGUGUGUGUGUGUGUGUGUGUGUUUGUUUGUUUGUUUGUUUGUUUGUUUCUGUGAGAGGUCUAUAUUAUUCCGGGGAAGUUUCAUGUUUAGUUUGGAAAGUUUUUAUUUUAUUUUAGGUCCAGCGCGCGCGCCAGAUUGAGGAGACACCACGUGACUUGGGUUUAUAAUAACGAAAACUUAGUCUUUUUAUUUCUCUUUAGGUCGGGAUGUUGAACAGACAACAUGUAUAGAGACGGAAUGUACACAAUGUAAUUUCUUUUGUCAUUGUAGGAGGAAAUUGACAUUUUGAUCACAGUUCACCAGCAGUGCAUGUUUUGGAUUUAAUUGAUCCGGUGGAACUUUAAUACACAUUUAAGGAUUAUUUUCUGAUAAUGUACAUUUUUCAGCACCAGUUUGUAACACAGAUAAGUAUUUCAAUCUAGGAGCGGACAUUUUAUUGUAGGUUUUUACUGAGAUUUACGGACCUAGCAAGCGAUUUUUACAGCAUUGCCAUUUUUUUCUCUAGGAAAAGUCUUGAGAGAUAUCUGCACCACGUUGUUUUAUGAACCUUUAGUACAUGUAUGCCCUGCUGACUGUAAAGUUUGGGGUCGAUUGGACUUGUAGUUUCAGAGUUCAACUGAUAACAAACAUGUGGAUUUUUUUUUCAGAAGAGAUGUAAGAACAAUAUUAAAA
This 808-nucleotide long non-coding RNA is filed under the name Mytilus galloprovincialis (Mediterranean mussel). The record is from RNAcentral. Lineage: Eukaryota; Metazoa; Mollusca; Bivalvia; Mytilida; Mytilidae.